CCGGUAAACGGCGGCCGUAACUAUAACGGUCCUAAGGUAGCGAAAUUCCUUGUCGGGUAAGUUCCGACCUGCACGAAUGGCGUAAUGAUGGCCAGGCUGUCUCCACCCGAGACUCAGUGAAAUUGAACUCGCUGUGAAGAUGCAGUGUACCCGCGGCAAGACGGAAAGACCCCGUGAACCUUUACUAUAGCUUGACACUGAACAUUGAGCCUUGAUGUGUAGGAUAGGUGGGAGGCUUUGAAGUGUGGACGCCAGUCUGCAUGGAGCCGACCUUGAAAUACCACCCUUUAAUGUUUGAUGUUCUAACGUUGACCCGUAAUCCGGGUUGCGGACAGUGUCUGGUGGGUAGUUUGACUGGGGCGGUCUCCUCCUAAAGAGUAACGGAGGAGCACGAAGGUUGGCUAAUCCUGGUCGGACAUCAGGAGGUUAGUGCAAUGGCAUAAGCCAGCUUGACUGCGAGCGUGACGGCGCGAGCAGGUGCGAAAGCAGGUCAUAGUGAUCCGGUGGUUCUGAAUGGAAGGGCCAUCGCUCAACGGAUAAAAGGUACUCCGGGGAUAACAGGCUGAUACCGCCCAAGAGUUCAUAUCGACGGCGGUGUUUGGCACCUCGAUGUCGGCUCAUCACAUCCUGGGGCUGAAGUAGGUCCCAAGGGUAUGGCUGUUCGCCAUUUAAAGUGGUACGCGAGCUGGGUUUAGAACGUCGUGAGACAGUUCGGUCCCUAUCUGCCGUGGGCGCUGGAGAACUGAGGG
This 749-nucleotide ribosomal RNA is filed under the name Escherichia coli. RNAcentral's name for it is "partial 23S ribosomal RNA". It matches the Rfam family "Bacterial large subunit ribosomal RNA", at positions 1920 to 2668 of the family's 2925-position model. The record is from RNAcentral. Lineage: Bacteria; Pseudomonadati; Pseudomonadota; Gammaproteobacteria; Enterobacterales; Enterobacteriaceae.